RNAcentral lists this ribosomal RNA (691 nucleotides) under Marinobacter bacchus. RNAcentral describes it as "bacterial SSU rRNA". It matches the Rfam family "Bacterial small subunit ribosomal RNA", at positions 68 to 750 of the family's 1533-position model. Lineage: Bacteria; Pseudomonadati; Pseudomonadota; Gammaproteobacteria; Pseudomonadales; Marinobacteraceae. The record is from RNAcentral.
GGUAACAGGGGGUGCUUGCACCCCGCUGACGAGCGGCGGACGGGUGAGUAAUGCUUAGGAAUCUGCCCAGUAGUGGGGGGCAACAGUCGGAAACGGCUGCUAAUACCGCAUACGCCCUACGGGGGAAAGCAGGGGAUCUUCGGACCUUGCGCUAUUGGAUGAGCCUAAGUCGGAUUAGCUAGUUGGUGGGGUAAAGGCCUACCAAGGCGACGAUCCGUAGCUGGUCUGAGAGGAUGAUCAGCCACAUCGGGACUGAGACACGGCCCGAACUCCUACGGGAGGCAGCAGUGGGGAAUAUUGGACAAUGGGGGCAACCCUGAUCCAGCCAUGCCGCGUGUGUGAAGAAGGCUUUCGGGUUGUAAAGCACUUUCAGCGAGGAGGAAGGCUCUAAAGUUAAUACCUUUAGGGAUUGACGUUACUCGCAGAAGAAGCACCGGCUAACUCCGUGCCAGCAGCCGCGGUAAUACGGAGGGUGCAAGCGUUAAUCGGAAUUACUGGGCGUAAAGCGCGCGUAGGUGGUUAGGUAAGCGAGAUGUGAAAGCCCCGGGCUUAACCUGGGAACGGCAUUUCGAACUGUCUGACUAGAGUGUGGUAGAGGGUAGUGGAAUUUCCUGUGUAGCGGUGAAAUGCGUAGAUAUAGGAAGGAACACCAGUGGCGAAGGCGGCUAUCUGGACCAACACUGACACUGAG